UACGUAGGGUGCAAGCGUUGUCCGGAAUUAUUGGGCGUAAAGAGCUUGUAGGCGGUUUGUCGCGUCUGCUGUGAAAUUUCGGGGCUCAACCCCGGACUUGCGGUGGGUACGGGCAGACUAGAGUGUGGUAGGGGAGACUGGAAUUCCUGGUGUAGCGGUGAAAUGCGCAGAUAUCAGGAGGAACACCGAUGGCGAAGGCAGGUCUCUGGGCCACUACUGACGCUGAGAAGCGAAAGCGUGGGGAGCGAACAGG
This 253-nucleotide ribosomal RNA is filed under the name uncultured bacterium. Its description in RNAcentral is "partial 16S ribosomal RNA". It matches the Rfam family "Bacterial small subunit ribosomal RNA", at positions 524 to 776 of the family's 1533-position model. The record is from RNAcentral.